This 512-nucleotide ribosomal RNA is filed under the name uncultured bacterium. Its description in RNAcentral is "bacterial SSU rRNA". It matches the Rfam family "Bacterial small subunit ribosomal RNA", at positions 8 to 521 of the family's 1533-position model. The record is from RNAcentral.
AGAGUUUGAUCCUGGCUCAGGAUGAACGCUAGCGGGAGGCCUAACACAUGCAAGUCGAACGGGAUUGGUAGCAAUACCAUGAGAGUGGCGCACGGGUGAGUAACGCGUAUGCAACCUACCUAUAACAGAGGGAUAGCCCAUAGAAAUGUGGAUUAAUACCUCAUAGUUCUAUUAGAUCGCAUGAUUUGAUAGAUAAAACUCCGGUGGUUAUAGAUGGGCAUGCGUGACAUUAGCUAGUUGGUGAGGUAACGGCUCACCAAGGCAACGAUGUCUAGGGGUUCUGAGAGGAUGAUCCCCCACACUGGUACUGAGACACGGACCAGACUCCUACGGGAGGCAGCAGUGAGGAAUAUUGGUCAAUGGGCGCAAGCCUGAACCAGCCAUCCCGCGUGCAGGAUGAAGGCCCUAUGGGUCGUAAACUGCUUUUAUACACCAAGAAAAACUCCAAUGCGUUGGGGCUUGACGGUAGUGUAUGAAUAAGCAUCGGCUAACUCCGUGCCAGCAGCCGCGGU